AUGGGCAGCAGAGCCAAACCACGAACAAUUUCCUACAGGAACAUUUCUCAGGAAAGAAUGGAGAGCUGCAAGGAGCUCAGAACCAUCGGGUGCAGGAAACGUGGCAAUUCCCGACAAAAAUGCCCUGGGACAAACUGGUGCCAUUGGGUCCCUCCAAACUCCGCUGGUGAGCUGGUGGUGCCAGUGCCUCUGUGGGCAGGACCUCCUGGAGCAGCAUGGAGCACAUCAGGGCCAGCUGCCCAUACUGGAGAUGCCCUGGGAGGGGGCUCAGUGUCCCCUGGGGAUGUUCAGGCCUUUCCAUGAACACACAGAGCUUGGGUGCGUCGCUCCAAGAUGGCCAAGCUCAGGUGAAGAAGCUCUUCUCUUAGGGGCAGAUCACUGGGAAAGGUCUCAGCCAGGGGGGUGAAGGCCACCCAGGCUGUUUGUUAGGUGAUUACAGUAAAUGAUGGGCAGCAAGGCUGGAGCUUUUGUGUUAAUUUAAACAAGGGCAUCAGAGGAAGCAUCUUUGCUCAAUCUGGGAGAUCCUUUUUUUGUACCCUACGCAAGCCAUGGAUUAAUCAGCAAUAGCACGUAGCCCAGCUUGCUCAAUUUACUAAUAUUUAUCUGACUAAGACUCUUUUUUCCUGAGAGGCUUGAAAUGUCUCAUCCCACUGAGUCAGUAUGUUACCAUUACAUGUUGUAAACUGCUGCAGACAGUCAUGGAGCAGUUGUGAGGAGCUGGGAAGAAAAGAUGUCAUUUCCCGUCAGCCGGGCCUUGGCUGUGCUCUGCAGCAGACAGCCAAAUAAGGGUGGGAAUGUGCCAAAUCCAACCUGCUUAGGACAACUCCAGGCACCUGAAUUCCAUACUGGGAUUAAAAACUGCGGGAAGAGGGGCUGUUUUGCUCUGUCUCUUCCCAGCAGCCUGGGCAUGACUGUGUGUGUAGUGUGUUCCCCACUUUGGAUGCUGUACAGGUGUUUAGUUUGGUUAUUAAAAUAAAAAUGGAAAAAGAAGUCUUGUGCUAUCUGGU
RNAcentral lists this long non-coding RNA (1007 nucleotides) under Junco hyemalis (dark-eyed junco). Its description in RNAcentral is "lncRNA (ENSJHYG00000013207.1)". Lineage: Eukaryota; Metazoa; Chordata; Aves; Passeriformes; Passerellidae. The record is from RNAcentral.